This 309-nucleotide ribosomal RNA is filed under the name Triticum aestivum (bread wheat). RNAcentral describes it as "partial small subunit ribosomal RNA". Lineage: Eukaryota; Viridiplantae; Streptophyta; Magnoliopsida; Poales; Poaceae. The record is from RNAcentral.
AUGUCAUGCCUCAUUAAACCGGACAUGCAUCAUACUUGCUUGUGCAUCAUGCUAUGCUUAUGUGAUGGUUGUUUACCAUGUUGUUUGCUUCUUUCCGGGUUGCCUUCGGUUUCGUUCCAGAGUUGUGAGGAUUCGUUCGACUACUCCCGCUCGUCUUCUUCAUGGACUCGUUCUUCUUCCUUGCGGGAUUUCAGGCAAGAUGACCGCUACCCUGGAUCUCACUACUAUCAUUGCUAUGCUAGUUGCUUCGUUCUAUCGCUAUGCUGUGUUACCUAUCUGUUGCUCUUCAAGCCUCCCAAAAUGCCAUGA